This 116-nucleotide ribosomal RNA is filed under the name Pteropus alecto (black flying fox). Lineage: Eukaryota; Metazoa; Chordata; Mammalia; Chiroptera; Pteropodidae. The record is from RNAcentral.
GUGUACGGCAACGCCACCUUGAACAAGCUUGAUGUCUGGUCUCGGAAGCUAAGCAGGCUCAGGCCUGGUUAGUACUUGGAUGGGAGACCACCUAGGAAGACCAGGUGCUGGAGGCA